Molecule: ribosomal RNA, 483 nt
Filed under: Streptococcus sanguinis
Lineage: Bacteria; Bacillati; Bacillota; Bacilli; Lactobacillales; Streptococcaceae
Description: bacterial SSU rRNA
Rfam family: Bacterial small subunit ribosomal RNA
Source: RNAcentral
GACGAACGCUGGCGGCGUGCCUAAUACAUGCAAGUAGAACGCUGAAGAGAGGAGCUUGCUCUUCUUGGAUGAGUUGCGAACGGGUGAGUAACGCGUAGGUAACCUGCCUGGUAGCGGGGGAUAACUAUUGGAAACGAUAGCUAAUACCGCAUGAUAUUAAUUGUUGCAUGAUAAUUAAUUGAAAGAUGCAAUUGCAUCACUACCAGAUGGACCUGCGUUGUAUUAGCUAGUUGGUGAGGUAACGGCUCACCAAGGCGACGAUACAUAGCCGACCUGAGAGGGUGAUCGGCCACACUGGGACUGAGACACGGCCCAGACUCCUACGGGAGGCAGCAGUAGGGAAUCUUCGGCAAUGGGGGGAACCCUGACCGAGCAACGCCGCGUGAGUGAAGAAGGUUUUCGGAUCGUAAAGCUCUGUUGUAAGAGAAGAACGAGUGUGAGAGUGGAAAGCUCACACUGUGACGGUAUCUUACCAGAAAGGGA